GAUGAACGCUGGCGGCGUGCCUAAUACAUGCAAGUCGAGCGAACAGACGAGGAGCUUGCUCCUCUGGCGUUAGCGGCGGACGGGUGAGUAACACGUGGAUAACCUACCUAUAAGACUGGGAUAACUUCGGGAAACCGGAGCUAAUACCGGAUAAUAUAUUGAACCGCAUGGUUCAAUAGUGAAAGACGGUUUUGCUGUCACUUAUAGAUGGAUCCGCGCCGCAUUAGCUAGUUGGUAAGGUAACGGCUUACCAAGGCAACGAUGCGUAGCCGACCUGAGAGGGUGAUCGGCCACACUGGAACUGAGACACGGUCCAGACUCCCACGGGAGGCAGCAGUAGGGAAUCUUCCGCAAUGGGCGAAAGCCUGACGGAGCAACGCCGCGUGAGUGAUGAAGGUCUUCGGAUCGUAAAACUCUGUUAUUAGGGAAGAACAAAUGUGUAAGUAACUAUGCACGUCUUGACGGUACCUAAUCAGAAAGCCACGGCUAACUACGUG
Molecule: ribosomal RNA, 497 nt
Filed under: uncultured bacterium
Lineage: Bacteria
Description: partial 16S ribosomal RNA
Rfam family: Bacterial small subunit ribosomal RNA
Source: RNAcentral